Molecule: non-coding RNA, 4237 nt
Organism: Solanum lycopersicum (tomato)
Lineage: Eukaryota; Viridiplantae; Streptophyta; Magnoliopsida; Solanales; Solanaceae
Source: RefSeq, a predicted model, not a curated record
AUUAAUUAAUAAACACGGGUUCUUAAAUAAUGUAUUAUUAAAAAAAGUUGAUUUAUAUUUUAAAAAGAGUUGAGAUUUUUCCGCGUGUAUAAAUACACGUACUAUCUUCUCCUUAUUUCAAAUUACAGAAGACCGGGGAACUUCAUACGCUACUCUGCUGAAGUUGUACGCUACCGGCCCUUAACACUCCGGUGACGAUGUACGAUCAAAACUAUUCAAUACCAGCGCUUAACUUUCCAGUGACGGCGAUAAUACCUACUGCCAAGAUUCGCUACUCUUAUCUUGAAGCUAUCUGGUCGGAGCUUCCACGGCAAUCAUCACAUCAAUGUGAUCAAUUUUUCACCCCAGGUGAUGUAAGGCCAAGUGUGAAAAUGAAUCUUGUUAACAGCUAAAAGAGCAAAUUACAAGGUCAAGGGAAGUGCACAAGUACAUGUGAUGGGGAGUCAAAAGAAGGUAAACCAUUCCUGCCCCUGUUCCUGACCUGAAUAAGAGCUGAGUCUUUUCAGUUAUCCUACUUUUCAAGAUAAUCUUAGAAUGCAUUCGUAUUAAUCAUGAUAGUAUUAGAGAUUACAAUGCCUCUUUUUGUCUUGGUAAAAUGGAGGAGCUGAAUGACUUCUUCUGCUUUUUCUUCUUCCUUAAAAAAAUCAAUCUGUUUUACCUUGAUUACAAGCAUCAAUACAUUUACGCGAGUCCCCAUCCACCCUAGAGGAAAGCAUAGCUCUUGGUUGCAAAUAAUUCUUAAGAUUCUCUUCACCAUGAGAAUGCAUGUGUCAGAAUGUCCUUGGUUAAUGAAGAUUUUUCUGAAUCUCCUGACGAAUCUUGACCUCUGCAAUGUCUUGCUCUGAGUUUUUCACCUGGAGAAGUUCUCAAAAUAACCUUUGAUAUAAGACCCGGUUAACAUCAUCAGCUACUUCAAAUUUAACUCUAUAUUCAUCUUCAAGGCUAUUUUGUUUUUUUCUGUAGUACUUUUUAAAACUUAAUACGUACAUCACUAUUAAUAGAUGAUCCAUCAUGAGGAUGGUGGAGGUUUUGUCUUCCGUGGAAUUUCAAUAAAACUUGUUUUCUGUGGAGCCUGAUUAAACAGUUGGUUAGCACGGCACCUCGGGUGGUGGGUCUAUGAGAUUUUGGAAUGAAAUUUCCAUAUCAUGGUGUUUCUUCUCAGCUCAUAAGGUUAACUGAUGCAUGCAGCCACAACGGAUUUCAAUGCUUUUGGUGAAAUUAGACAUGACCUUCCACUUAUUUUUAUUGCUCUUUGUUUUAACUCAAAAUGGCAGUCAAACAUGUUGUCUGUUGAGUUGUAAACCUGUUGCUUGUUUGGCACUUCAAGUGGGUCUGUGAGAUUUUGGAGAAAGUUCCAUUUCAUGGUGUUCCUUCUCUGUCUCAUAAGGCUAACUGAUGCUUGAAGCCAUGACAGGUUCCUAUGCUUUUGAGUUGAUUCAUGUUUUGAAAACUUUAGUUUCUUUCCCACCCCUCAUCGAACUCCCUUUUUUCGUGAUAUUACAAAGGUAAUCCCUGUUUUUUUAUUCUUAUUACUCACUCUCUCUGUUUUAUACACAAUGAAGAUUUGGAGGUUUUCAUUUAUUGAUGUUCAAUCAAACAUGUUGCCUCUUUCCUGUCAAGCUAAAGAACUGUUGCUUGGCACGGCACUUCAUUUGGGUUUAUGAGAUUUUGGGAGAAGUUUCAUUUUUUGGUCUUUCUUUUCUGUUCCCUAGGCAUACCUUGCAGCCAUGCUGGGUUUCCAAGCUUUUGAGCUGAUCGUUUUUGGCAUUGCAAAGUUCAAUUUUUUUUUUGUCACUAAAUCACUGUUUUGGUGAAACUAUACGACUUCCUACUUUUCUUGUUCUUAUUACUCUCUCCGGUAUAACUCAAAAAUCAAUUUAACAUGUUCUGUCUUGAGCUGAAUUUUUUGCUUGGCGUGGCACCUCAGGUGGGAAUAUGAGAUUUAAGAGAAAGUUUCAUUUCAUGAUGCAUCUUCUCUGUCUCAUAAGGCUAACUGAUGCUUGCAGCGAUGACAGAUUUCUAACCUUGUGAGCUGAUUCGUGUCUUGGCUUAAAGUUCGGUUUCCUUUCCCCCUUCAGCAAACCAUCCUUUUCGUGAAAUUACACAUGACCUUCCUCUUUUCUUGUUCUUAUUACUCUCUCUGCUCCUUUUUAAAAAACCAUGACGAUUUGUAGGUUCUCUUCCUUGGAAGUUCAAUAAAAAUUUGUAUGAUUUCACAAGGGUUGUUGAGAACUUGGUUUCAAACAGCUUUGAUGCAGGAAUUGUUACCAUGGGAGGCCAAAUGGAUAUUGUAAGGUUUAGGAGGACAACAAGUGUUUUGUACGUUGAAUUGAUGAUUGGUACAAAAGUAAUUGUUCAUGAUAUAUUUUACGACUAACCAGUUCGAAGGAAGCAAAUGCACUCCGAACACUUCUAGUUUCCUCAAAAUCAAACAAGUAGAAAGUAAUGAUUUACAUAUUUCUACUUCUAAAGUUGUACUUUGAUAUGAUUGAUCUUUUGGUUUGCUUAUAUAAUUUUGAAGUCCAAGUAUAGGGUCUCGCAUUCUCCGAAAGAUCUCUACUAAGAAUUUCUCUUGCGCAUCGUUUUGUGUCCUGCAAAAUUGUUGAUAUUGAAAGUGAGGAUGACCUGCUUUGCACACGUGCUUCUCCUUGUCCUUGCUGCUGUUGUCCAGUGGGUUUGGGAUUCAUCUGGGUUCCCUUAAAAAUUGAAUCCAAGCGCUGGUUCAUUCAAGUUUUCAGGAUGCCUCUCAGGUCCUGAUGUUUACACAAUGAGGGUAUACAUGCCCAAAUUGAUGGAUAAAGAGAUGUGAUAAGUCAUCUUUUCUACACGUUGUUUCCCUAACAACCACGGAUUAAUUUGCAGGUCCUUCAGUAUUUCAUUAUCCACUUAUUUUAGUAUGUUGUCAAGGAAACAGAAACCUAAUCUUUGGUUAAUAUUCACUAUACUGGAUGCUUGUUUUUUGUACGAUGUCUUUGUUUUCCUUGACCUCCGUAAUGCAAAUAUCAAUUCAAGAUUUGUUUCCAAAGGACCAAUAAAUAAAUUACUUAACAACAUAGCUAUGAGUUUUGGCAGUGCAUCUGACAUUGAGAAGCAAAAUAGAUCUCAGAUAUAUCCACUGUUUUUGGAGCCUUCAAAGACAUUUGUGGAAUUUAAGGAUAUGUUAAGGAUGUUCAAACGGUUUUCAACAACCUUGAAGGCCCCACUCUCACAGCUUAAAAAAAAGUUUAAUUAUUAAGAAAGUUCUGCUCAAUUUAUUAUUUUACUUCAUCUUCUGAGGCUGUACUUUUUUUCUCACGGAAUGGACUGGUGUUGAUGGGAGAAAGAUAUGUGUGUGUUGAGGAUGUUUAAGAAUUUGUUUUUACCUUUUGAGUGAGAUGGGAAGCAUUAAGUGAAUGCCUGAGGCUUUGGAGCUCAAUUCUGUCACAGGGGUUAUCUUGUAUUAUUUCACAAGGGUUGUUGAGGAGUUGGUUUUCAGCAGCCCAGAUGCUGGUGCCACCAAGUAUUUUGAAAGAAGACACUCGUUGGACAGAUUUUCGUGAACGCGUGCACUGGCCAUUUUUCCUUUACAUGGGCUAGUCUUUUUUGACUUCGGUUGUUUCUUAAAAAUGGAAAAUCGUGCCAUGUUCCAUCAAUAUAUCCACGUGAACCACCAAAAGUCAAGUGCAAGACCAAGGCACAACUGUUUUUCCUUCUCUUCCACUUGCAUAUAUUCUGACAUGAGCCAGAGAAGAUGACUCUCAUUAGCUUUCUGUGUGAGAUGCAGGUAUAUCAUCCUAAUAUCGAUUUGGAGAGUAAUAUAUACCUCAACAUACUAAGAGAAGGUUGAAACCCGUUCUCAGUAUCAACACAAUUAGCCAUGGAUUGUAUCUUCGUUUCACGGAACCAAACCAUGAGGAUCCCCUUAAUCUCGAGGCUGCUGCUGUUGAGAGAUAAUCCUGAGUUUAAAUAAAAUGUGAAAAGGGCUAUGCAUUGUGGAACUGUAGUGAAUAUAAGCUUCACGCAAUGCAUGUAACCUGUCCUCUGGUGCUGGUAAUAGUGUUUCUGAUUAGAUGCUGUAUCAUUUUGAGGUGUGCUGGGUUGUAUAUGGUGUCCGCAAACUUGCAGUGCCAUCUUAUCUGAGUGUGUCAUUUUAGCUUUAAGUUCUUUGACGUGUAUCCAUUGAUGUAUCUGUUAUGCUGGCUGAACAGCAUGUCAUGAACAUAAAGUAAACAAAUGGAAUGGUUAUAUAUAGACGAAA